Molecule: unclassified non-coding RNA, 378 nt
Filed under: plant metagenome
Description: partial contains 5.8S ribosomal RNA, internal transcribed spacer 2, and large subunit ribosomal RNA
Rfam family: 5.8S ribosomal RNA (bases 1-105)
Source: RNAcentral
GAAAUGCGAUAAGUAAUGUGAAUUGCAGAAUUCAGUCAAUCAUCGAAUCUUUGAACGCACCUUGCGCUCCUUGGUAUUCCUUGGAGCAUGCCUGUUUGAGUAUCAUGAAAUCUUCAAAGUAAAUCUUUUGUUAACUCAAUUGGUUUCUACUUUGGUAUUGGAGGUCUUUGCAGCUUCACACCUGCUCCUCUUUGUUCAUUAGCUGGAUCUCAGUGUUAUGCUUGGUUCCACUCGGCGUGAUAAGUUAUCUAUCGCUGAGGACACUGUAAAAGGUGGCCAAGGUAAAUGCAGAUGAACCGCUUCUAAUAGUCCAUUGACUUGGACAAUACUUUUAUGAUCUGAUCUCAAAUCAGGUAGGACUACCCGCUGAACUUAAGC